UUGACCAUAAACCACUGGGUAAUUCUAGUGAUUAGAGAGUGACACAGGCUGUGGGUACGCGGUGCCUCACAACGCUAGGGACCCAGGCUCGAUUCCACCCUGAGGCAAAUGUGUGGAUGUUUCCGCCGGCUGCUCUGGUUUCCUCCCACGGUCCAUAGAUAUGCAGAAUAUGAAUACCAAUAACCGGACUGAAGUUUAUGAAAAUCAGCAGAAACAGAUCCCAAUGAACAAGGUGGAGUCUUGGAUGAGAUUAACAGCAAAAUUCAGCCACUGUAGUUAAUAGUGAACUGGCUAGUGUUUCUGCGGGUGAAAUGGCUUCUCUCACUUGGAGCAAUGAAUGGCCUGGCAACGCUGGCAUCUACCUGACAAUGUGGAAAAUUGCCCAGCUAUGUCCUGUACACAAAAAGCAGGUCAAAUCCAACCCGCCCCAUCUCGAUCAUCAGUAAAGUGAUGGAAGGUGUCAUCAACAGUGCUACUGAGCAGCAAACACUCAGCAAUAACCUGCGAAGUGACACCCAGUUUGGGUUGGCCACUGAGCUCCUGCCCUCAUAUAACCUUGGUUCAAACAUGGGCGAAAGAGUUGAAUUCCAGACGUGAGAUGAGAGUGACAGCCCAAUUUGAACACUGUGUUGAAUGGCCUUCCUUUGUGUGCUAACAAUUAUAUGACGACAAAGUGC
Molecule: long non-coding RNA, 677 nt
Organism: Stegostoma tigrinum
Lineage: Eukaryota; Metazoa; Chordata; Chondrichthyes; Orectolobiformes; Stegostomatidae
Exons: 2
Source: RefSeq, a predicted model, not a curated record